RNAcentral lists this long non-coding RNA (1767 nucleotides) under Podarcis lilfordi (Lilford's wall lizard). Lineage: Eukaryota; Metazoa; Chordata; Lepidosauria; Squamata; Lacertidae. The record is from RNAcentral.
AGGGUCAAGAUAUAUUUAUUCAUACAGGUGUCAGAUGACAAGUUAAACAAUCUGUUGCUUCUGUACUGUACAAAACAUGGCUCCCUUGAGAAAUAAAAGAUACGAAGAAAAGCUCAGAAAGCUCUUGAAAGAACAGUUGAGAAAACAGAAAGCUUCUUGAAGAAACAAAAUAAAAAGUAUAGCCAACAUCUCAUUAUAUUAUUCUUGUAAAUCUCCCAUACUUCCUGGAAAAAACAGGAGGAUUCCAAUAUUCCGAAAGAAGAAUGCAGCUUGUAUUUUUACUGUUUAGUUUUACAUAAGAGUGGGUUUUCAAAUUGUAGGUGUAUUUACUGCUAGGGACGCAGGUGGCGCUGUGGUGUAAACCACUGAGCCUUGGGCUUGCCAAUCGGAAGGUCGGCGGUUUGAAUCCCCAUGACGGGGUGAGCUCCUAUUGUUCGGUCCCUGCUCCUGCCAACCUAGCAGUUCAAAAGCACGUCAAAGGGGAAGUAGGUAAAUAGGUACCGCUCCAGCGGGAAGGUAAACGGCGUUUCUAUGCACUGCUGUGGUUUCACUAGAAGUGGCUUAGUCAUGCUGGCCAUAUGACCCAGAAAAACUGUCUGCGGACAAAGGCCUUCAAUUUGCACAUCGGCCAUGUAGGUCAGGACUGGUUGUAAUUCACUCACCAAUUAAUUGAACCAGGACUGUAAUGUGUUUAUUUAUUUGAGGCAUCUGUAAUACCUCCUUGACCCCACCCCACCCACCACCCACCCCUGGAUAGCACAAUAAACACUAAAAGGACGGUUAAUGAAAAUCUACAGCAAAACAGAGAGGCAAAGCGAAAAUAAAAUAUAAUCAUGCACUUCAUUCUUCCCCAUUCUUCUUUUGCUUGGGCAAAACGGCACAUCUUUAACCUUUAACCAGGAUGAAAACAAUGUUGAGGAUGAUGCACUUUGGGAGACUAUUCCAAAGCUCUGGGGCCACCACAUAGAAAGCCCUUCUUCAGACGCCUGCAUUGCAAAUCUCGCUCCACAAGUGGCCACCAAGAGAGUUGUCUCUGCAGCUUGGUAUGUGGGGUGGGCAACAUUCUUUCAGAUAUUUGAGACCCAAGCCGUCUGUGGCACAAACUCUGUGCUGUUAUAGAAGUACCUUGAGUUGGGCCUGAAGUAUCACAGGCAGCAAAUGCAACUUUUAAAGUUGGCAUUAUUUGCAAGUGACUAGAAGGAGCACCUGCUAGUACCUUGGCUGCCACAUCCUGCGCAAGUUGUAACCCCCAGGCAGUUUUCCAGAAUUGCCCAUUACUCCUUGGUAAUGCAUUCUCUACUAGGUUGCCACUACAGACACUGAAGUCCCAAUGCAGAAAUUCAACGUGCUGCCGUCUGGGUCUGAAGAGAGAAAUGCUACAAGAAUCUGUAUGUGCUGUAUCUUUGCCAGAGAACUACUGCUAGAGUAUACAAGCAUAGGUCUGCUUCAGGCAAGUCAGCUUAAUGUGUUCUUUGAAAACCUUGAAAUAAAUUCCACGCCAUCUCCCAAGGCACCAAGCAUGCUAUUUGCAGGAGCCUCUUACAAGCCCGAUUGUGAAGGGAAGCGAACUAACAAUACUGCUUGCCUCCUUCAGUACUGCAGAAGGAGCCACAAAGACUAUCAUGGGGAUAACGGCUGCAGUUCUUUUCCCUUGCUUAGGACAACUAACACUGCAAAUAUUCAAGGAGCUGCCUCUUUUUGUCUGACCAGUUUCUGAUACUUAUCUUGGUCACUUAAAAGAGAAAGAAAAAAUCCCAGAUUCUUUCC